Molecule: long non-coding RNA, 711 nt
Organism: Rhododendron vialii
Lineage: Eukaryota; Viridiplantae; Streptophyta; Magnoliopsida; Ericales; Ericaceae
Exons: 2
Source: RefSeq, a predicted model, not a curated record
UCGAUUCUGAUAGUAGUGGUUGCCCACCUGUUGAGUGACUAAAUUGCUCUUGGGUGUUGAUUCUGUUGAUUGAAAAAAUUUCAGUUCUUCUGUUGUUGAUCUGUUGAUGGUAGUGACUGGUUUGGCCCUUAUGAGCUUCUCAAUUUCACUCUUCUUGGACCCUACUCAUUUGGUAAGUACUCCAGCUGAGAACUUUUUCGUGAUUGAAUUUAAGUAUCAUGGACCCCCCAUUUUUGAGAAUCCUAUUCCAAUAGCUCUUUUUGUGGUUAAUUGAAGUUUCAAGAAACCAUUGCUAUUGAAAACCAUUUUUGUCUGUGGACUUUGGAAGAGGAUUCUGGCAGCCACCCAAAUAUAGGAUUUAAGAGAACAUAUCGGCCAAAUGCUUACGAAAUGGCAGGAAAACAAGACCAUUACGUGGGUGUGGCACACAACACCAGCUGAGCAAGUGCAGUUUCCUCCGUUGUUGGAAUUUGCUGAAGGAAGUUCAAAUGAAACAAAAAAUGAAAUUGGAAGUUCAAAUGAGACAAAAAGAAUUUGGUGGUGUUGUAUUGUCGUUACCUUUGCUAAUGUAAUGUAAUGUUAUGAAAGUAUGAAGUUGUUAAGGUUGAAACUUGUUACUUUUUUUGGAAUAUCAAGUUGUUGUGUGGUGGUGGAACCAUGAAGUUUUGUAACGUGGGAGCAUAUAUAACAUAUGGUGCUGCAAUUGUUGUA